CUGCCUGGUAGUGGGGGACGAACGUUUCGAAAGGAACGCUAAUACCGCAUACGUCCUACGGGAGAAAGCAGGGACCUUCGGGCCUUGCGCUAUCAGAUGAGCCUAGGUCGGAUUAGCUAGUUGGUGAGGUAAUGGCUCACCAAGGCGACGAUCCGUAACUGGUCUGAGAGGAUGAUCAGUCACACUGGAACUGAGACACGGUCCAGACUCCUACGGGAGGCAGCAGGC
RNAcentral lists this ribosomal RNA (228 nucleotides) under uncultured Pseudomonas sp. RNAcentral describes it as "partial 16S ribosomal RNA". It matches the Rfam family "Bacterial small subunit ribosomal RNA", at positions 126 to 354 of the family's 1533-position model. Lineage: Bacteria; Pseudomonadati; Pseudomonadota; Gammaproteobacteria; Pseudomonadales; Pseudomonadaceae. The record is from RNAcentral.